RNAcentral lists this ribosomal RNA (574 nucleotides) under Bacillus sp. (in: firmicutes). RNAcentral describes it as "bacterial SSU rRNA". It matches the Rfam family "Bacterial small subunit ribosomal RNA", at positions 94 to 653 of the family's 1533-position model. Lineage: Bacteria; Bacillati; Bacillota; Bacilli; Caryophanales; Bacillaceae. The record is from RNAcentral.
AGCGGCGGACGGCUGAGUAACACGUGGGUAACCUGCCCAUAAGACUGGGAUAACUCCGGGAAACCGGGGCUAAUACCGGAUAACAUUUUGAACCGCAUGGUUCGAAAUUGAAAGGCGGCUUCGGCUGUCACUUAUGGAUGGACCCGCGUCGCAUUAGCUAGUUGGUGAGGUAACGGCUCACCAAGGCAACGAUGCGUAGCCGACCUGAGAGGGUGAUCGGCCACACUGGGACUGAGACACGGCCCAGACUCCUACGGGAGGCAGCAGUAGGGAAUCUUCCGCAAUGGACGAAAGUCUGACGGAGCAACGCCGCGUGAGUGAUGAAGGCUUUCGGGUCGUAAAACUCUGUUGUUAGGGAAGAACAAGUGCUAGUUGAAUAAGCUGGCACCUUGACGGUACCUAACCAGAAAGCCACGGCUAACUACGUGCCAGCAGCCGCGGUAAUACGUAGGUGGCAAGCGUUAUCCGGAAUUAUUGGGCGUAAAGCGCGCGCAGGUGGUUUCUUAAGUCUGAUGUGAAAGCCCACGGCUCAACCGUGGAGGGUCAUUGGAAACUGGGAGACUUGAGUGCAGAA